CACCAGCUAAGCGUCCCGAAGAAGAAGACCAAGAACUUUAUGAAAUCUGGCAGGGAAUCUUGGAAGAUGCAGCGGCAGAAUCUUUUGGAGCUCAGGAGGGUGAGGACCGCGGCCUUGACACACUGCCUCUAGCAAUAUGGAACUAUACAGAGCCCGGGAACAUGCAUAUCAGGAAUCCUCCCGCUGUGAGAACGCAUCAACCCAGCCAUGUUACUAUGCAGAAUUUCCUAGGACUACAAGUGGAUGAUUCAGAUUACAUACCAGCAAGGAAAAGACGUUCUGCUAUGAAAGGCCUUGUCAGAGCGGGGGUAUAUGGAAUUUUAAAAUACUGCCUGAAGAAUUACAUGUAUGAUUCAUGCUACGGGUGUAUGGUUCAAGCAGGGGGGCAAGACUCCCAUGAAUGUGUUACUUGGACCGAUAGAAAUGUUUCCAGAUUUAUUAGAACAUUGUCAUCAAGGAUGUGUGUGAAAGCAGUGCUCCACAUAAUUAUUAUAAUUGCUUACAGCUUGAAAAUGUUAUUGCUAUCUAGUGAUACCGUGAAUCAGACUCUAAACCUCAUCAGCAGGGUUAAGGGUUCUGAUGACCCGCAGGCUGUGUUAGAAGCUAUCCCACAACAGAACGAUUCCAGAAUGCUCUCUUUUGUGAACUGUGUCCUCGAAAAAAGGGGAUACAGACAGUUUCUUGUUCCAGAGAUACCUGAAUAAAUUCCCUCGCAAAAGUCUAA
Long non-coding RNA from Hemicordylus capensis (graceful crag lizard), 724 nucleotides. RefSeq lists it as uncharacterized. Lineage: Eukaryota; Metazoa; Chordata; Lepidosauria; Squamata; Cordylidae. The record is from RefSeq and is a predicted model, not a curated record. The transcript is spliced from 3 exons.